RNAcentral lists this ribosomal RNA (388 nucleotides) under uncultured bacterium. RNAcentral's name for it is "bacterial SSU rRNA". It matches the Rfam family "Bacterial small subunit ribosomal RNA", at positions 29 to 417 of the family's 1533-position model. The record is from RNAcentral.
AUUGAACGCUGGCGGCAUGCCUUACACAUGCAAGUCGAACGGCAGCGCGGGAGCAAUCCUGGCGGCGAGUGGCGAACGGGUGAGUAAUAUAUCGGAACGUGCCCAGUAGUGGGGGAUAGCCCGGCGAAAGCCGGAUUAAUACCGCAUACGACCUGAGGGUGAAAGCGGGGGAGUCGCAAGACCUCGCGCUAUUGGAGCGGCCGAUAUCAGAUUAGCUAGUUGGUGGGGUAAAGGCCUACCAAGGCAACGAUCUGUAGUUGGUCUGAGAGGACGACCAGCCACACUGGGACUGAGACACGGCCCAGACUCCUACGGGAGGCAGCAGUGGGGAAUUUUGGACAAUGGGCGCAAGCCUGAUCCAGCAAUGCCGCGUGCAGGAAGAAGGCCU